AAUAAUUGUGUGGCAGAUUAGUGCAUUGGACUUAAGAUCCAAAUAUAACUUUAGUUCAUAA
This 61-nucleotide transfer RNA is filed under the name Batillipes longispinosus. RNAcentral describes it as "tRNA-Leu". Lineage: Eukaryota; Metazoa; Tardigrada; Heterotardigrada; Arthrotardigrada; Batillipedidae. The record is from RNAcentral.